AGAGUUUGAUCAUGGCUCAGGAUGAAUGUUGGCGGCGUGCCUAACACAUGCAAGUCGAACGAGAAGCUAACUUCUGAUUCCUUCGGGAUGAUGAGGUUAGCUUGAAAGUGGUGAACGGGUGAGUAACGCGUGGGUAAUCUACCCUGUUUAGUGGGGGAUAACCCUCCGAAAGGAGGGCUAAUACCGCAUAAUAUCUUUAUCCCAAAAGAGGUAAUGAUUAAAGAUGGCCUCUAUACUAUGCUAUCACUUCAGGAUGAGCCCGCGUCCUAUUAGUUAGUUGGUGGGGCAAUGGCCCUACCAAGACCUCAAUGGGUAGUCGUGUCUUGAGAGGAUGCACGGCCACACUGUGUUACUGACAUACUGCCUAGACCUCCUACGGGAGGCAGCA
Molecule: ribosomal RNA, 388 nt
Filed under: uncultured bacterium
Lineage: Bacteria
Description: bacterial SSU rRNA
Rfam family: Bacterial small subunit ribosomal RNA
Source: RNAcentral